AUUGAACGCUGGCGGCAGGCCUAACACAUGCAAGUCGAGCGGAUGAAGGGAGCUUGCUCCUGGAUUCAGCGGCGGACGGGUGAGUAAUGCCUAGGAAUCUGCCUGGUAGUGGGGGAUAACGUCCGGAAACGGGCGCUAAUACCGCAUACGUCCUGAUGGAGAAAGUGGGGGAUCUUCGGACCUCACGCUAUCAGAUGAGCCUAGGUCGGAUUAGCUAGUUGGUGGGGUAAAGGCCUACCAAGGCGACGAUCCGUAACUGGUCUGAGAGGAUGAUCAGUCACACUGGAACUGAGACACGGACCAGACUCCUACGGGAGGCAGCAGUGGGGAAUAUUGGACAAUGGGCGAAAGCCUGAUCCAGCCAUGCCGCGUGUGUGAAGAAGGUCUUCGGAUUGUAAAGCACUUUAAGUUGGGAGGAAGGGCAGUAAGUUAAUACCUUGCUGUUUUGACGUUACCAACAGAAUAAGCACCGGCUAACUUCGUG
Molecule: ribosomal RNA, 484 nt
Filed under: uncultured bacterium
Lineage: Bacteria
Description: partial 16S ribosomal RNA
Rfam family: Bacterial small subunit ribosomal RNA
Source: RNAcentral